Microcebus murinus (gray mouse lemur) is the source of this 121-nucleotide unclassified non-coding RNA. The record is from Ensembl. Lineage: Eukaryota; Metazoa; Chordata; Mammalia; Primates; Cheirogaleidae.
CAGCCGCGGCCCAGGGGACCAGCCCGCACGCUCUGGCAGCGCUCCGGGCGUCUCCUCGCGGCCGCCAACAACUGAAUAAACACGCCAGAGCGCUGCGAUCUGUCAAGGGCCGGGGCUACCC